GACGUAGGGGGCCAGCGUUGUUCGGAAUUACUGGGCGUAAAGGGUUCGUAGGCGGUGUGGCAAGUCGGGUGUGAAAUCUCUGGGCUCAACCCAGAGUCUGCUUCCGAAACUGCUGUGCUUGAGUGUGGGAGAGGCGCGUGGAAUUGCAGGUGUAGCGGUGAAAUGCGUAGAUAUCUGCAGGAACACCCGUGGCGAAAGCGGCGCGCUGGACCACUACUGACGCUGAGGAACGAAAGCUAGGGGAGCAAACAGG
This 253-nucleotide ribosomal RNA is filed under the name uncultured bacterium. Its description in RNAcentral is "partial 16S ribosomal RNA". It matches the Rfam family "Bacterial small subunit ribosomal RNA", at positions 524 to 776 of the family's 1533-position model. The record is from RNAcentral.